Molecule: long non-coding RNA, 406 nt
Filed under: Mytilus galloprovincialis (Mediterranean mussel)
Lineage: Eukaryota; Metazoa; Mollusca; Bivalvia; Mytilida; Mytilidae
Source: RNAcentral
GACCAUGGAAGUAUUAUAUUGACAGGAACUACUACGACCCGACUUCAAACGGUUCAUCUGCGAUGCCGCGCCCAAUUUAAUGACAUGUUAAUUAACUUGAAACAUGGCACUAUAUUAAUACACCAGCGUGUGGCACAUUGCGAUAAAGUCAUGUGUCGGUUGUUUCCGGGGUACGGAAAUGCACGAAGAAAGCGGAUGUUGUCAUAAAUCCUAAGGAAACAGUUUAUACACACGUGUAUGAAUGAAUGUGAACGAGACAUACAAUCAUUAAUUCCAAACAAACACUUUGACAAUGGAUGAAUUUGAGACAGAUAAUAUACCCGAUGAUUUUUUUUCCUCACAUUUUGAAAGUGAGAUAUAUUGUUCGUGUAAAUCGGAUGAUUCGUCACAUCUUAUCGAAUGUAAA